RNAcentral lists this ribosomal RNA (424 nucleotides) under uncultured bacterium. RNAcentral describes it as "bacterial SSU rRNA". It matches the Rfam family "Bacterial small subunit ribosomal RNA", at positions 340 to 754 of the family's 1533-position model. The record is from RNAcentral.
UACGGAAGGCAGCAGUGGGGAAUAUUGCACAAUGGGCGAAAGCCUGAUGCAGCUAUGCCGCGUGUAUGAAGAAGGCCUUAGGGUUGUAAAGUACUUUCAUCGGGGAGGAAAAAACAAAACUAAUAAUUUUAUUUCUUGACGUUACCCGAAAAAGAAGCACCGGCUAACUCCGUGCCAGCAGCCGCGGUAAUACGGAGGGUGCUAGCGUUAAUCAGAAUUACUGGGCGUAAAGAGCACGUAGGUGGUUUUUUUAAGUCAGAUGUGAAAUCCCUGGGCUUAACCUAGGAACUGCAUUUUGAAACUGAAAUACUAGAGUAUCGUAGAGGGAGGUAGAAUUCUAGGUGUAGCGGUGAAAUGCGUAGAUAUCUGGAGGAAUACCUGUGGCGAAAGCGGCCUCCUAAACGAAUACUGACACUGAGGGUGC